This 358-nucleotide ribosomal RNA is filed under the name uncultured Parabacteroides sp. Its description in RNAcentral is "bacterial SSU rRNA". It matches the Rfam family "Bacterial small subunit ribosomal RNA", at positions 355 to 710 of the family's 1533-position model. The record is from RNAcentral. Lineage: Bacteria; Pseudomonadati; Bacteroidota; Bacteroidia; Bacteroidales; Tannerellaceae.
UGAGGAAUAUUGGUCAAUGGGGCGCGAGCCUGAACCAGCCAAGUCGCGUGAAGGAUGAAGGUUCUAUGGAUUGUAAACUUCUUUUAUGGGGGAAUAAAGUGCGGGAUGUAUCCUGUUUGUAUGUACCUCAUGAAUAAGCAUCGGCUAACUCCGUGCCAGCAGCCGCGGUAAUACGGAGGAUGCGAGCGUUAUCCGGAUUCAUUGGGUUUAAAGGGUGCGUAGGUGGCCUUUUAAGUCAGCGGUGAAAGUUUGUGGCUCAACCAUAAAAUUGCCGUUGAAACUGGAGGGCUUGAGUAUGUUUGGGGCAGGCGGAAUGUGUGGUGUAGCGGUGAAAUGCAUAGAUAUCACGCAGAACUCC